Molecule: ribosomal RNA, 484 nt
Filed under: uncultured bacterium
Lineage: Bacteria
Description: partial 16S ribosomal RNA
Rfam family: Bacterial small subunit ribosomal RNA
Source: RNAcentral
AUUGAACGCUAGCGGGAUGCUUUACACAUGCAAGUCGAACGGCAGCGCGGACUUCGGUCUGGCGGCGAGUGGCGAACGGGUGAGUAAUGUAUCGGAACGUGCCCAGUAGCGGGGGAUAACUACGCGAAAGCGUAGCUAAUACCGCAUACGCCCUACGGGGGAAAGCAGGGGAUCGUAAGACCUUGCACUAUAGGAGCGGCCGAUAUCGGAUUAGCUAGUUGGUGAGGUAACGGCUCACCAAGGCGACGAUCCGUAGCUGGUUUGAGAGGACGACCAGCCACACUGGGACUGAGACACGGCCCAGACUCCUACGGGAGGCAGCAGUGGGGAAUUUUGGACAAUGGGGGCAACCCUGAUCCAGCCAUCCCGCGUGUGCGAUGAAGGCCUUCGGGUUGUAAAGCACUUUUGGCAGGAAAGAAACGUCGCGGGCUAAUACCCCGUGGAACUGACGGUACCUGCAGAAUAAGCACCGGCUAACUACGUG